Molecule: RNA transcript, 2874 nt
Organism: Capsicum annuum
Lineage: Eukaryota; Viridiplantae; Streptophyta; Magnoliopsida; Solanales; Solanaceae
Exons: 3
Source: RefSeq, a predicted model, not a curated record
UUUAAGCUUUGAUAUUUGUUUGAUAAAAAUUAUAUUUUAUCUGCCUAGUCCAUGUGUUGGGACAAGCGUGAACCUGGUAUAAUUUGUUGCCUUUAACUAGCUGUGGAUAUUUAUUUUGUGAAGUUUAUCGAGAAUCAUUUAAAGGUGAAAUAUGAGGUGAGGUUGGGGCGUUGAAUAUAUUUUCUUCACUGCCGUUAUAGUCACUAAGGGCGUACAUAGCUGUCGUAAUAUAUUAGGGACAUUACUUAUGCUACCGUAAUAUGUUAGGGGCUUGUACAUGUUGCUGUAGUAGACUUUUAGGGCAUUGUAUAUGUUUCCAUGGACUUAUCGAGGUGCCAGGCCGAUCAACUUCACUACCGUUUAUGACAAGUCGUGAGAGUGAAUUGAGUUGAGAUGUAGAGUGGUAUUUUUUGAACUUUCUUUUCGAUCUUAUUAACAUUACCUUAUGAGAGAUAUUAUGUACAUAUUGUUUUUGUAUUUUUUUGUACCUUAUUUUUUCUAACACUUGUUCGAGGGGUAUUAAAGUAGCGGGUCGAGGAUCUUACUGGGUUAUAUUUAUAUAGCUCACUCCUUACUUGCAUACUUGGAAAUACAAUUGCAGAGAGAGAGAGACUUGUGACAAAUGGUUAUUACGUGUCGAUUCUAUAAGUAAGGUGAGCCUUAACAUUGUUCGUGGAGGCUUUCAUCCAGCUUUAGUUAUUUUUUGCUUAUAUUUCUUUUUGUUGGGCUUGCAUGCCCGAAAGUUGAACUCAUGUAACUUUGUUUAGAUGCUCCAUGGUCUAGUGUGGGGUUUGGGUUAGCGAUUUGUUUCCUAAACUACUGUUGUUUCUGUAAAUCGUUAUGCGAUAUCUUGUUGGACAAUUACUUUACGUUUAAUGAUUAUUUCGUGCAUUUAAAGUUGCACUCAUUUUUAUCUCAGUGUUGUAUACAUUGUGAACAUAUGGAAAAUUGGUUCUCCCGACAAGUGUUGUUAGUAGGAGCCAGACACGGCCAUGAGGUAGUUGGGAUGUGACAAAGUUGGUAUCAGAGCCUAGGCUUUUGGUCCCGUGUCGUCGAGCAGUAUUUAGUAGAUUCUUGUUCAGGGAUGGUUAAGAGACGUGGUUCUUCCUCUGUUGGUCGAUCUAAUGCACCUGUUGGACUUGGUCCUGGACAAGAUCCUACCCGUGGUGGUGGUCGAGUUGGGUCACAUCCGACCAUGCCUCAAACUAGGGCACAAACUAAUACUCAACAUGGAGUUUGGAGUGGGCGCCAUCCCCAAGUUGCGGCUCCUGAGCGAGUACAAGACCAGGUUGAUCAUGAUACUCCAGCUGUAGCACCUGUUGCUGUACCUACUAUUACAUUGCCUGCCGAUGUUGUGGUUAGAAUGUUGAAUAUAUUGGAGGCAUUGGUGUCUAAUCAGGGUCGAACUCCAGCUCCUCAGGUUACUUUGCAGACGCAGGCACAAGUUCAGUUGAAUGUUGCAACCUCUCAGGCACCUCUACUAAUUGAUCAUUCGAUUGCAGAUAUAGGGCAACCCAAGGAUCUUAAGAAUUUCAUGGAUCUUAAGCCACCGGAGUUUGAUGCUACACCAUCUUUUGUUGAGCCUUAAAAGUUUUUAGAUUGCUGUGAGAGGAUACUGACUACUUUGGGACUAAAGGAGACUCAUGGUGUAGAAUUUACCACUUUUUUAUUCUCAGGGUCUCCCGAGGCAUGGUGGACUUUCGUUUUGAGGGGCAGACAAGCAGGGCUACCACAGAUCACUUGGUCAGAGUUUUCAGCUAUGCUCUUGGACAAAUUUAUUCCCUUGAGGAAAUAAGUUGACAUGAGAUGCCAGUUUAAUGAGUUACGAUAGGGAUCCAUGAUAGUCACUGAGUACGAAGCUAAGUUUAUUGAGUUGUCCAGGUAUGUUCCAUCUUUAGUUGCAGAUCAGAGGGAGAAAGUAAAUGAUUUGUAGAUGGACUUGAGGCUCAUUAUCAUGGUCCAGUGAUACACGAUGUGCGUAAUGGGUCCUAUUCUGAGGUGUUUGACACUACUCUUCAUUCUGAGUCCUAUUAUGAGAUGGAAAAAAUUAAUCGAGAAAAUAAGAAGGCAUGUAACUCAGGUGGGUUUAGUGCUGCUCAGUAUGAGAGCAAGAAUGGGUUUGAUUGUGGAUAGUCUAGGCCUACGUAGUCAGAGUUAAUGGGCCAAUCUUCGAGGAAUAGUUAUCCAGCCAGACAAGGUCAGCAGCAGCAGACACAGAUGAAGGGUAAUGAUUUUUUUUUAGUCUGAGCAGCAUUUGAAAUGUUCUAAUUAUGACAGGAAUCAUACUGUACAUUGUUUUGGAGUUGGUGUUCCUUGUUAUACUUGUGGUGAGAGAGGGCACAUUGCUAAGUUUUAUCCUAAGGAAGAUUCUGGGUCUAGUCAAGCAACUUCUCAGGUGCAAAGAGAUGCUACAGGUACUUAUGCUUACACUCAGUCAUCUAGGAUCACUCCAUUGGGUACUCGUGGACAGGGCCAACAGGGUGCUCAAGGUUCUCAGAUAACAGGUGGACCACCAAGAUUCUUUGCUAUGGCUAGAUAGGACACAGAGGCAUCUAAUACAGUAGUCAAAGAUACGGUUGCAGAGAGAGAGACUUGUGGUUGACGGUCAUUACAUGUGGAUUCUAUUGCUAAGGUGAGCCUUCACAUUGUUCGUGGAGGUUUUCAUCCAGCUUUAGUUAUUUUUAGCUUAUAUUUCUUUUUGUUGGGCUUGCAUGCCCGAAAGCUGAACUCAUGCAACUUUGUUUAGAUGCUCCAUGGUCUAGUGUGGGGUUUGGGUUAUAGAUUUGUUACCUAAACUGCUGUUGUUUCCGUAAAUCGUUAUGCGAUAUCUUGUUGGACAAUUACUUUACGUUUAAUGAUUAUUUCGUGCAUUGA